AGCAGUAGCCGCGGUAAUACGGAGGGUGCAAGCGUUAAUCGGAAUUACUGGGCGUAAAGCGCACGCAGGCGGUUUGUUAAGUCAGAUGUGAAAUCCCCGAGCUUAACUUGGGAACUGCAUUUGAAACUGGCAAGCUAGAGUCUUGUAGAGGGGGGUAGAAUUCCAGGUGUAGCGGUGAAAUGCGUAGAGAUCUGGAGGAAUACCGGUGGCGAAGGCGGCCCCCUGGACAAAGACUGACGCUCAGGUGCGAAAGCGUGGGGAGCAAACAGGAUUAGAUACCCCGGUAGUCCCUGUCUCUUAUAC
RNAcentral lists this ribosomal RNA (303 nucleotides) under uncultured bacterium. Its description in RNAcentral is "partial 16S ribosomal RNA". It matches the Rfam family "Bacterial small subunit ribosomal RNA", at positions 507 to 807 of the family's 1533-position model. The record is from RNAcentral.